This 254-nucleotide ribosomal RNA is filed under the name uncultured prokaryote. RNAcentral's name for it is "partial 16S ribosomal RNA". It matches the Rfam family "Bacterial small subunit ribosomal RNA", at positions 524 to 777 of the family's 1533-position model. The record is from RNAcentral.
UACGGAGGAUCCGAGCGUUAUCCGGAUUUAUUGGGUUUAAAGGGUGCGCAGGCGGAGAUAUAAGUCAGUGGUGAAAAACUGCCGCUCAACGGUAGUCUUGCCAUUGAUACUGUUUCUCUUGAGUAUGGAUGAGGUAGGCGGAAUGUGUAGUGUAGCGGUGAAAUGCAUAGAUAUUACACAGAACACCGAUUGCGAAGGCAGCUUACUAAUCCAUCAUUGACGCUGAGGCACGAAAGCGUGGGGAUCAAACAGGA